Non-coding RNA from Aspergillus ibericus CBS 121593, 72 nucleotides. NCBI's taxonomy places the organism in Eukaryota, Fungi, Ascomycota, Eurotiomycetes, Eurotiales, Aspergillaceae. The record is from the annotation of a RefSeq genome assembly.
GGUCCAUUGGCCAAAUGGUAAGGCAUCGGACUCCUAAUCCGGAGAUUGUGGGUUCGAGCCCCAUGUGGAUCG